UGGGUUCAUUGUCGAUCACGUUGUGAAACUAGAUUCGGAGUACUGGAUUGUUUAGGGGUAAGAAGUAUCUUGUAUCGUUCUCAACACACUUGAAAUGUAUUUGAUGUAACAGAUUGGAUCUCUGGCCUCAUGCUUGUAAUAAUAUGCUUGAUGUAUGGGCUUGUAAUAUAUUUUGAUGUAUGGGCUUGUGUACGGAUUCAUGUAUUUGAUGUAUUCAUUUGGUUCUGAUGAUAUAGAUUAAAUACUCUGAAAAUGGUCAUCACAGGAAGUUUAAACCGGUGGUAAAGAAGGCCAUCAUCACCGCUGGUCUUGGACACAAACCCGCCAUGAUGGCUCCAUCAUCACCGUCGGCUCAUGAGCUGGACCGGUGGUGAUGAAGGCCAUCAAUAUCGUCGGUUCAUGGUCUAGCGACCGUCGACCUUUAUCCGCUAGCCCCCCAAGCUAGUGGUGAUGGGUGGUUUGGG
This 464-nucleotide long non-coding RNA is filed under the name Setaria viridis. RNAcentral's name for it is "long non-coding RNA (SVIR_LNC008926)". The record is from RNAcentral. Lineage: Eukaryota; Viridiplantae; Streptophyta; Magnoliopsida; Poales; Poaceae.